GUAGGACAGCGUACAAGGUGUCUUGGGACGGUGACGCGAACACUCGAGGAGGCUAUUACGACGCCGAGAUGCUCAAACUGACGGGACUACCUGCGGCUCGGCUGUUGAUGCGGGAGGUGCUGUAGGGCCCUACUGCCUAACACUUGCUGACGAGGACAUCCUUGCAAAGAAUG
Ixodes scapularis (black-legged tick) is the source of this 173-nucleotide long non-coding RNA. RefSeq lists it as uncharacterized. NCBI's taxonomy places the organism in Eukaryota, Metazoa, Arthropoda, Arachnida, Ixodida, Ixodidae. The record is from RefSeq and is a predicted model, not a curated record. The transcript has 3 exons.